RNAcentral lists this ribosomal RNA (334 nucleotides) under uncultured bacterium. RNAcentral's name for it is "bacterial SSU rRNA". It matches the Rfam family "Bacterial small subunit ribosomal RNA", at positions 462 to 793 of the family's 1533-position model. The record is from RNAcentral.
UAUUCAUUUGACGUUAGCUGCAGAAGAAGCACCGGCUAACUCCGUGCCAGCAGCCGCGGGUAAUACGGAGGGUGCGAGCGUUAAUCGGAAUUACUAGGGCGUAAAGCGCAUGCAGGUGGUUUGUUAAGUCAGAUGUGAAAGCCCGGGGCUCAACCUCGGAAUUGCAUUUGAAACUGGCAAACUAGAGUACUGUAGGAGGGGGUAGAAUUUCAGGUGUAGCGGUGAAAUGCGUAGAGAUCUGAAGGAAUACCGGUGGCGAAGGCGGCCCCCUGGACAGAUACUGACACUCAGAUGCGAAAGCGUGGGGAGCAAACAGGAUUAGAUACCCUGGUAG